CAGUCGAGGGGUAGAGGAAGCUUGCUUCCUUGAGACCGGCGCACGGGUGCGUAACGCGUAUGCAAUCUACCUUUUACAGGGGAAUAGCCCAGAGAAAUUUGGAUUAAUGCCCCAUAGUGUAAUUGAAUGGCAUCAUUUGAUUACUAAAGUUCCAACGGUAAAAGAUGAGCAUGCGUCCUAUUAGCUAGUUGGUGUGGUAACGGCACACCAAGGCAACGAUAGGUAGGGGUCCUGAGAGGGAGAUCCCCCACACUGGUACUGAGACACGGACCAGACUCCUACGGGAGGCAGCAGUGAGGAAUAUUGGACAAUGGGCGCAAGCCUGAUCCAGCCAUGCCGCGUGCAGGAAGAAGCAUCUAUGGUGUGUAAACUGCUUUUGUACGGGAAGAAACACUCCUACGUGUAGGAGCUUGACGGUACCGUAAGAAUAAGGAUCGGCUAACUCCGUGCCAGCAGCCGCGGUAAUACGGAGGAUCCAAGCGUUAUCCGGAAUCAUUGGGUUUAAAGGGUCCGUAGGCGGUUUAAUAAGUCAGUGGUGAAAUCUGGUCGCUCAACGAUCAAACGGCCAUUGAUACUGUUAGACUUGAAUUACUAGGAAGUAACUAGAAUAUGUAGUGUAGCGGUGAAAUGCUUAGAUAUUACAUGGAAUACCAAUUGCGAAGGCAGGUUACUACUAGUGGAUUGACGCUGAUGGACGAAAGCGUGGGGAGCGAACAGGAUUAGAUACCCUGGUAGUCCACGCCGUAAACGAUGGAUACUAGCUGUUGGGAGCAAUCUCAGUGGCUAAGCGAAAGUGAUAAGUAUCC
This 806-nucleotide ribosomal RNA is filed under the name uncultured bacterium. RNAcentral's name for it is "bacterial SSU rRNA". It matches the Rfam family "Bacterial small subunit ribosomal RNA", at positions 59 to 869 of the family's 1533-position model. The record is from RNAcentral.